CAAGCAAAUCCCAUAAAGCCGUUCUCAGUUCGGAUUGUAGUCUGCAACUCGACUACAUGAAGCUGGAAUCGCUAGUAAUCGUAGAUCAGCAUGCUACGGUGAAUACGUUCCCGGGUCUUGUACACACCGCCCGUCACACCACGAGAGUUUGUAACACCCGAAGCCGGUGGAGUAACCUUUGGAGCUAGCCGUCGAAGGUGGGACAAAUGAUUGGGGUGAAGUCGUAACAAGGUAGCCGUAUCGGAAGGUGCGGCUGGAUCACCUCCUUUCUAAGGA
Molecule: ribosomal RNA, 276 nt
Filed under: Staphylococcus massiliensis CCUG 55927
Lineage: Bacteria; Bacillati; Bacillota; Bacilli; Caryophanales; Staphylococcaceae
Description: partial 16S ribosomal RNA
Rfam family: Bacterial small subunit ribosomal RNA
Source: RNAcentral